CCUUAAGACCUGAUUCUAACAACACCUAACCUUAUUCUGCUAACACCCCGACUCGCACCACAAAACACAGUUACACGUAAAAACUGCAGGAGCCCACCACCCACCCCACCUUCUUCCCUCGGACGCACCCACCCCCACCCCGACCCACAUUCUUCCUCGCACACCACCACUCCCCACGCCCACCUCCCUCCCCACCUUCCGCCGUUGUCAGACCCCACCACCGUCGCCCCACUUCCUCCCUCUCUGCCCUCGCCCUGCCUAGCUCCCCUCGGGCAACCUCCCCCGCCGCCACCACUUGGGCUCGCCGUGGUGAAAACCAGAUCCAGCCCCCCUCCCCGGCGGCAACCCGCACCGGCCGGCCAUGGAUCCGACCCCCCCACCAACCUGCAGCAUCUGCCGAUGGAUCGAGCCACCUCUCUACCGGCUACCUUCAUCCGCCUCCCCACCACGACCACUAUCCACUUGGCCUGAUUCACGGGCGUCGAGGAGCCAGGCAGUGUCGGCGGAGCAGGUGGCGGGUGAGGGUGCAGCGCGGCGCGCGGGCUACUGGCGGGGGAGGAUGGUGCAGGAGGUGCGCUCAGGGGAGCGGCAGGUGGAGGUGGUCGUCGGGGCGGAGGCGCCACGGGAACCCAAGGCGAGGGGCAUCGUCGGGAAAGAGCACAUGCAGCUGCUCCUACGCCUCGAUGGGGUGUGGGGCGCCAGCGGUCGAGCUUGAUGGAGUGAGUCCCCCUGUUGCCACCACCCCCUACUGAUCCGUUGACCACAAGAUCCCCUUCACCCCUCCGCCUCCAGGCACGAUGGCGGCCUCUCGCCGGCGCAUCCUCUCCUUCGACAUCUAUCCGAGGCCUGCUCUCCUAGGCGCCUACUACCUUUCGGCAGUGGUGGGGAUUCGGCAAAGAUCUGCUUCGCCACCCCUCAUCCCUCGUUCUGUGGCAUCAAGGCCGGGACGCCCAGUACAGCGGCGAGGGUGCCGCAGGUCAACGGCAUCCCGCCCAACUCUGUCGUGUGCAGUGCACACCUCGCGGUGCUGCAAGUUCUGGGGCGGCGGGAGUGAGCAGUGCAGUGCAGAUAAAAAUGUCGUUGCAGGUAGUUGUGGUUGUCGGUGCAGUUCGCAAGCGCAUGAUGGCAUGACGGCGUGCAGUUCCCUGGUCGCAGUCGAGCUGAAUGUGUGGUGUUGGACAAGAUGCAGUACGGUUGGUGUCACCGUGCAGCUCAUUGGCUAACAGCAUGCAGUUUGAUACAUCUGUUUUACAGUUCUUUUGCUAUGUCCUGUGGUAUCUGUGUCCUAUGUUGGGCCAAAGUGUGCAGGGCAAUAGGGCUUGCGUGGAGUUUGGGGGUAAGCACAUUGCAAAAAUUGCAGUGCGGUUUGGCGACAGUGGAAUUGCGGUGUGGUUCGGCGCCCGUCGAGGUGAAUUUCGUCCACGGGGACCUUGUGUUCUUUUUUUGUCAAAAAAAUUAUGCAUGACGAAGCCACAGGCGCCACCGACGAAGCAGUACCGAUGGCGACGCCGUGCAGCUCAUCAGUGACAUGCGCGUGGUUCUGCACCUAGCAGCGUGUAGCCACCUGAUGCACAUCAGUACAGUUGGAUCUCAUGGAGUUUUAGAUACUUAUUUCGGCAUUCAGAUUUGCAGUGUAGUGCGUACUCGUGGAAACCAAAAAAUGCCUGUUUAUUCUUGAUGCUUUUUCUUGCAUUGAAAAACUUGUUAUGCCUUAAGCAGUGCAGUUAAUUGUUGGGUG
Triticum urartu is the source of this 1738-nucleotide non-coding RNA. The record is from RefSeq and is a predicted model, not a curated record. Lineage: Eukaryota; Viridiplantae; Streptophyta; Magnoliopsida; Poales; Poaceae.